This 742-nucleotide ribosomal RNA is filed under the name Bacillus cereus. Its description in RNAcentral is "bacterial SSU rRNA". It matches the Rfam family "Bacterial small subunit ribosomal RNA", at positions 56 to 780 of the family's 1533-position model. Lineage: Bacteria; Bacillati; Bacillota; Bacilli; Caryophanales; Bacillaceae. The record is from RNAcentral.
UGCAGUCGAGCGAUGGAUUAAGAGCUUGCUCUUAUGAAGUUAGCGGCGGACGGGUGAGUAACACGUGGGUAACCUGCCCAUAAAACUGGGAUAACUCCGGGAAACCGGGGCUAAUACCGGAUAACAUUUUGAACCGCAUGGUUCGAAAUUGAAAGGCGGCUUCGGCUGUCACUUAUGGAUGGACCCGCGUCGCAUUAGCUAGUUGGUGAGGUAACGGCUCACCAAGGCAACGAUGCGUAGCCGACCUGAGAGGGUGAUCGGCCACACUGGGACUGAGACACGGCCCAGACUCCUACGGGAGGCAGCAGUAGGGAAUCUUCCGCAAUGGACGAAAGUCUGACGGAGCAACGCCGCGUGAGUGAUGAAGGCUUUCGGGUCGUAAAACUCUGUUGUUAGGGAAGAACAAGUGCUAGUUGAAUAAGCUGGCACCUUGACGGUACCUAACCAGAAAGCCACGGCUAACUACGUGCCAGCAGCCGCGGUAAUACGUAGGUGGCAAGCGUUAUCCGGAAUUAUUGGGCGUAAAGCGCGCGCAGGUGGUUUCUUAAGUCUGAUGUGAAAGCCCACGGCUCAACCGUGGAGGGUCAUUGGAAACUGGGAGACUUGAGUGCAGAAGAGGAAAGUGGAAUUCCAUGUGUAGCGGUGAAAUGCGUAGAGAUAUGGAGGAACACCAGUGGCGAAGGCGACUUUCUGGUCUGUAACUGACACUGAGGCGCGAAAGCGUGGGGAGCAAACAGGAUUA